AGGGCCUCGGCCAGUCCCGGCCCCCAGCGGAGCAAGAGCAAGCAGCGUACCAGGCAGCCCCACCCUGACCUAAAGUAAAAUCUCAGGAGAAGUCUUACCUGGGUUUUGAAUUUGCAGUAACAGGUGUGAGCAUUCUAGCAGCAGUUUGAUGAUCAUCUAUGACACUGCAAACAGGA
This 176-nucleotide non-coding RNA is filed under the name Prolemur simus (greater bamboo lemur). RNAcentral describes it as "Small Cajal body specific RNA 16 (ENSPSMG00000018912.1)". It matches the Rfam family "Small Cajal body specific RNA 16", at positions 40 to 187 of the family's 187-position model. Rfam says of the family: scaRNAs are a specific class of small nuclear RNAs which localise to the Cajal bodies and guide the modification of RNA polymerase II transcribed spliceosomal RNAs U1, U2, U4, U5 and U12. ACA47 belongs to the H/ACA box class of guide RNAs as it has the predicted hairpin-hinge-hairpin-tail structure, the conserved H/ACA-box motifs and is found associated with GAR1. The record is from RNAcentral. Lineage: Eukaryota; Metazoa; Chordata; Mammalia; Primates; Lemuridae.